GCAGUAGCCACGGUAAUACGUAGGUGGCAAGCGUUAUCCGGAUUUACUGGGUGUAAAGGGAGCGUAGACGGAAUGGCAGUCUGAAGUGAAAUGCCCGGGCUCAACCCGGGAACUGCUUUGGAAACUGUCGAUCUGGAGUGUUGGAGAGGUAAGUGGAAUUCCUGGUGUAGCGGUGAAAUGCGUAGAGAUCAGGAAGAACACCGGAGGCGAAGGCGGCUUACUGGACCUGUACUGACGCUCAUGCACGAAAGCGUGGGGAGCGAACAGGAUUAGAUACCCCUGUAGUCCCUGUCUCUUAUACA
This 302-nucleotide ribosomal RNA is filed under the name uncultured bacterium. RNAcentral describes it as "partial 16S ribosomal RNA". It matches the Rfam family "Bacterial small subunit ribosomal RNA", at positions 508 to 808 of the family's 1533-position model. The record is from RNAcentral.